UGUCAACCUGCGUGUCUCCGCCUGUGUCAUCGUUAGCUUGUUGCUUGCUAGCUUGUAAACAAAUGUUCAGUUCAAACGACUGCAGCAAUAUGUUUUAAAAAGGAAAAAAAAGCCGCGCAAAGGCAAGGUCACAGGAGAAAAAAUGGGCUGUUUUGAAGAUUUGGAGAACUCCUAUUAGGGUCUUUGGAGAUCAUAAAGUCGUCAGGAAGGAGAACAGACCCGUCAGCAGAACCUUUACAGUACAGGAUGGCAAGUCCUGUCCAAAUGUUGGCAAGAAUGCAAGCUGAGCAUCUCCACAACUACAACAAGUGCGGAAAGUCUCGGGACCAGUGUGACGACAGCUGGAGGAUCUGCCUCGGAGAGCGGGAGGAAGGCGGAAGGAAGAGUUUGUGACCAACGACGAAUACGGAAAAAGACUGUAGGAAAUGACAAUGUGUGUGAAGUGAUAAGCCUGCGGCAAAGACUCCCACACCCUGAGGGAGAACUGGGGGCUACAAGACUUUAGCCUCAGUGCUCGGCCCUAUACCGCAGUCCCAGAUGACCCCCCUGGCCAGUCAUCUCAUUGCCAAGUAUGUAUAGACCAGACACACUUACACUAUCUUGGUUGUUGUGUUUAUUGGCGCAUGUUCUUGCUGAGAAAGCUUUUUCAGAUCAGACUUCCUUUGUGAUGCCAACAAAGCCAAAGUAUGUGAUUCUACACGCAUGCACAAAAUGACUUCCUGCACAUGUAAUGUCUCUUUUGUCCGUGAUCGUUUAAUGUAUUAAGAGAAUGAUUUGAAAUUCCUUGCUCUUUUUAUUUGCAGAAUGGUAGUGUGCUUUCAAAACAAAAAAAAUCACAUGCCUAGAGCACAUUUUACUGAUUUAUUGUGUCAAACAUUAUCGAGGUCACAACACAUUUGCUUACUCGUACUUUUACUAUCGCCUUAACUAACGACAUAGGACAAACAUGAAGCUUCUGAACUUUCCAAGGAUCUUUGAACAUGUGUUAAAUGUUACAUUGAUGAUAUUGAAAUGGACGCCACAAUGAAAGAAGAAAGGCACUCACAAAAAACAAGCACAUAGCCCAAAUUCCCUGCAACACCCGCUUGGGGCCGAGAGCAAAAAAAAAAUCCAAAACAAUCCUUUCUGUAGGAAAAACAUCUCACUGUCAACUCGGUGAGGAUUAUUCCUCCACGGUUACCCCCUCCUUUUACUUCCCCUCCGUAAUCCAGCCCCAAAAACUUUUAGUGAAGCCUUUCAAAACAAUUUAUGCAAGCAAACAUCAAGCAGGGUUAUUUGUAUUGGCACCACUCUCCAGUAAACACGACUGAACCAAGACCAGAUGGGACUCGGCCUUUUCCGCCCUUGUGUGCUGCAUCCCAAGUCCACAGCAGAAGCUCGUUUUUUGGGUUUUUUUUUACUCACCUUUCAUCAUGUUCACCACUUCUGGAUGAACGGAUGCAUGUGAGAAUUGAAUUAUAAUGGGACUUCUAGAUUCAGAUGGCCCUGACCCUGGAAUUUGACCAACAUUUUAUAGAUAGUUAUACAGUAGAUUUAAAGAUAUAGAUUUAUAUAGCACCUUUUUUAAGAUACCCAUAGCGCUGCACAGUGAAACCCAUUAUUCAGUCACUCCACAGUCACUCACUGGUGGUGGUAAGCUACAUCUGUAUCCACAGCUGCCCUGGGGUAGAGUCACAUAGAAACACGUGGCUGCCAGUUUGCGCCUACGGCCUUUCCGACCACCACCAAACAUUCAUUCACAUUUAUACACCAGUGUGGGCGGCACUGGAGGCAAGCUGGGUGAAAUGUCUUGCCCAAGGACACAACUCAAGGGGUGGAGGAAGCGGUGGGCAAUCCACCAACCUUUUCUGGACGACCUGCUCUAUCUACCUCCUGAGCCACUGCCGCCCACAUUAUAGGAUUAACUGAAGAGCAAGUGUUGUGCUUUUUGGUGCUUUUGGCAGAACAGGCCUCGCAUUCAAAACGGGGAAAACUCUAGCAUCACCACAUGUGAAUUUAGUUAUGAAAGUAGUGUUUUAUAGAAUUGGACCCUUUCUAUUAACAGUGGUUAACUUCUGUUUACACUUUCGCCAUAGUCAAGAGGCAUAUUUACUGGGACUCACCUUAGUCAUUUUGUUGUAUUGUUUUUAGGUUUUACAAUUAACUGUGGUUAACUCAUUCAAUACCAAAGACGUAUUUAUACAUUUUUAUAAUCCCGAACGCCCGAUCCCAACAACGUAUUUAUAUGUCUUUAGUAUUUUUUGGCGAGAGAGGCAAAAAGAGGUGAUGACGCAACUCCCCACUUCAGAGCAAUUUUAAGCCAUAAAAUGGGCCACAAGGUGGCAGAAGUGUAUUUGAUAAGAGCUCAACAGAGAUCAUGUGAACAGAAAAAAAAUCACACAUGGCAGGAAGAAGGAAGUGAGAGAGCGCGGAGGAGUGUAGCGCAAAGAAGGUUACGCAUUGUAGGGAAAUUUUAACGCAUGCACACACAGGCGUACACGCAUGCACACACAUAGUUCAGCUUCAAAUGUGAAAAUUGUAAAUAGCUCAUGGUGUUAUAUGUGCAAAUAAAUUGUUAUUUUGAUGUAAAGCAACCCUUUUUGUGUUGUUUAUGUUGGCGUAGUUGUUUAGAUAUUUGAGCUGUCACAAAAGCUAAAAAUAUUUGUGUCAAAGUGAAAGUUAUGCUUGAAAUGUAUCUUUUCA
Molecule: long non-coding RNA, 2682 nt
Organism: Dunckerocampus dactyliophorus (ringed pipefish)
Lineage: Eukaryota; Metazoa; Chordata; Actinopteri; Syngnathiformes; Syngnathidae
Exons: 3
Source: RefSeq, a predicted model, not a curated record